AUUGAACGCUGGCGGCAUGCCUUACACAUGCAAGUCGAACGGCAGCACGGGAGCAAUCCUGGUGGCGAGUGGCGAACGGGUGAGUAAUAUAUCGGAACGUGCCCAGUCGUGGGGAUAACGUAGCGAAAGCUACGCUAAUACCGCAUACGAUCUACGGAUGAAAGCGGGGGAUCGCAAGACCUCGCGCGAUUGGAGCGGCCGAUAUCAGAUUAGGUAGUUGGUGAGGUAAAGGCUCACCAAGCCGACGAUCUGUAGCUGGUCUGAGAGGACGACCAAGCCACACUGGGACUGAGACACGGCCCAGACUCCUACGGGAGGCAGCAGUGGGAAUUUUGGACAAUGGGCGCAAGCCUGAUCCAGCAAUGCCGCGUGCAGGAUGAAGGCCUCGGUUGU
RNAcentral lists this ribosomal RNA (393 nucleotides) under uncultured bacterium. Its description in RNAcentral is "bacterial SSU rRNA". It matches the Rfam family "Bacterial small subunit ribosomal RNA", at positions 30 to 426 of the family's 1533-position model. The record is from RNAcentral.